UACUAGAGUAGCACUCGCAUAUCAAUAAGCGGAGGAAAAGAAACUAACAAGGAUUCCCCUAGUAACGGCGAGUGAAGCGGGAAGAGCUCAAAUUUGGAAUCUUAAAGGGUUUCCCUUUACGAAUUGUAGUUUAAAGAAGUGUUUUCUGUUGAGGUUUUGGUAAAAGUUCUUUGGAAUAGGACAUCAUAGAGGGUGAGAAUCCCGUAUUUGACCUUUACUUUCAACUUUGUGAUACACUUUCAAAGAGUCGGAUUGUUUGGGAAUGCAGUCCAAAAUGGGUGGUAAAUUUCAUCUAAAGCUAAAUAUUGGCGAGAGACCGAUAGCGAACAAGUACCGUGAGGGAAAGAUGAAAAGAACUUUGAAAAGAGAGUUAAACAGUACGUGAAAUUGUCAAAAGGGAAGCGUUUGACACCAGUGUUGUUUUUCUGAAAAUCAAUUAAAGAACUGUUUAUGCUAAGCUGUUUAGACUUUAUCAGCUAUCUGUUUAGUUUUGAGCUUUUCUUUAAUGCACUUUUCAGUUAACAAGUCAACAUCAAUUUCUUUUGCUGUAAAAAAGCUUGAGGAAGGUGGCUUGAGAUUCGUCUUAAGUGUUUAUAGCCUCUUGCCUAUGCAGUCGGAGAGAUUGAGGUCUGCAGCGUAGAUCCUUCGGGGCUAAAUGCAUUUGUGCUAAGUUAUAGCAUUUUAUAGACAACUUGUUGACUAUGAUUUGUCUUGUAGCUUACUCGCUUAUGUUAUUUUACCUACGCUUAGGAUGUUGAUCUCUCACAGUCGAGC
Molecule: ribosomal RNA, 774 nt
Filed under: uncultured Neocallimastigales
Lineage: Eukaryota; Fungi; Neocallimastigomycota; Neocallimastigomycetes; Neocallimastigales
Description: partial large subunit ribosomal RNA
Rfam family: Eukaryotic large subunit ribosomal RNA
Source: RNAcentral